GUGGGGAAUUGUUCGCAAUGGGCGCAAGCCUGACGACGCAACGCCGCGUGGAGGAUGAAGACCUUCGGGUCGUAAACUCCUUUCGAUCGAGACGAACGGCCAUCGGGAUAACACCCUGAUGGAGUGACGGUACCGAGAGAAGAAGCCCCGGCUAACUCCGUGCCAGCAGCCGCGGUAAUACGGGGGGGGCAAGCGUUGUUCGGAAUUACUGGGCGUAAAGGGCUCGUAGGCGGCCAACUAAGUCAUACGUGAAAUCCCUCGGCUUAACCGGGGAACUGCGUCUGAUACUGGAUGGCUUGAGUUCGGGAGAGGGAUGCGGAAUUCCAGGUGUAGCGGUGAAAUGCGUAGAUAUCUGGAGGAACACCGGUGGCGAAGGCGGCAUCCUGGACCGAUACUGACGCUGAGGAGCGAAAGCCAGGGGAGCAAACGGGAUUAGAAACCCGUGUAGUCC
This 451-nucleotide ribosomal RNA is filed under the name uncultured bacterium. RNAcentral's name for it is "bacterial SSU rRNA". It matches the Rfam family "Bacterial small subunit ribosomal RNA", at positions 354 to 796 of the family's 1533-position model. The record is from RNAcentral.